UCCCUCUUAGCUCAGUGGUAGAGCGCAUCACUCGUAUUCGUUGAGCAUAUGAUGAGGUCAGUCGUUCAAUCCGGCUAGCGGGAA
Molecule: non-coding RNA, 84 nt
Organism: Mycena rebaudengoi
Lineage: Eukaryota; Fungi; Basidiomycota; Agaricomycetes; Agaricales; Mycenaceae
Source: the annotation of a GenBank genome assembly